Heteronotia binoei (common prickly gecko) is the source of this 72-nucleotide non-coding RNA. The record is from the annotation of a RefSeq genome assembly. Lineage: Eukaryota; Metazoa; Chordata; Lepidosauria; Squamata; Gekkonidae.
GGGGCUGUAGCUCAAUGGUAGAGCCUCUGUUUAGCACACAGCAGGUCCCAGGUUCAAUCCCUGGCAUCUCCA